This 234-nucleotide non-coding RNA is filed under the name Betaproteobacteria bacterium. Lineage: Bacteria; Pseudomonadati; Pseudomonadota; Betaproteobacteria. The record is from RNAcentral.
CGGCGCUGCACGCUUCAAGGUGUCCCGGCGGGAGAUUCGCUCCCGCGGGAUGAAACGGGAAACAGGUGAGCGGAGUCGAUCCAGGCGCCGCGAUCCCUGUGCUGCCCCCGCAACGGUAAGCGAGGCGGCGUACCUGCUGGCCACUGCGAAUUUUUCGCGGGAAGGCCGUACGCCCCGGUGGAGUCCGCUCCACCCCUCGUGAGCCCGGAGACCGGCCUUGUCGCGUUUCUUUCA